ACUCGCGUGCCGGAACCAUUCUGGCGUGUGUUGGCAAAAACGUGGUGGAAAAACUUUCACGAGUGUGUUGACAUUAAACGACGAAAUCGAGAAACGCGUGCGGCGUCGGAAGUGCUACGCGACAGUGUGUGAAACAAAACGGGAAACAACUUUGCUAAAAAGGACACAAACUCACUCAGUAUGUCCGAGUCCGUCCCAUAAGUGAAAUUUAUUCAGUCACAGGCCGCCGGUUCAAAGCCGGAACGGAGCGUAAUCACAUGUUAUCUGGCCCAGUCUAUCUAAUAAUGCGAAGGGAUAACAAACACGAGACAGCGUCGUCGACGUCGGGAGUUUGUGGUUGGUGGCCACAAACAGGACGUCGAGGAGGAAGUAAACGGAAUCGCAAACCAAAAUCCGGUUACCGGGAAGUAAAAAGAGAUGUAUGGCUGGAUCCUCUUGGAGAGCACCGGAUAAACAGAAAGGACCAACAGCUUCAGAGAAACAAUUCACCCAGCGCUAUAAUAAUUUCAUUCACCUGAACCUCAUUGGAAUGUUUGGACACGCGUGAUAAAUUCACACUACAGCCAAAGUGCCGCACACUAUUCGGCGGUUGGGCUAUUGAUGAGGUCCCGUGCACUUUCCCGAACCAGUCGAGCCCGAAACGACCGACGAACCGGAAACGGUGGCACUACAACUUCCACCCACACACCUGCUGCUCCUGCAGUGCAUUCAACUGGCGGAUCAUCGCGGUGAAGUUACGAUUUCCGAGGCUGGAACGUGGAGACGGUUAAAUCCAAUAUGAAAAUAAUUCACUAUUUAUGUUUGUUUUAUGCCCUGUUUAUUUAUUAAAAACAGUCUCCGAAAAAAUUGAGUGGUGCCAUACUCGGCAUCGAGCUGGGAUAUUGAUGAUUCAUUUAAAUAGCAACGAUGCAUCCAAAUUGAAUAGGAUUUAAUAAAUAGCUUGAUAUUUUUCAGUAAUACAAUAAAUAUAAUAGAUAUCAAAUAUUAGGCGAGAAAGCAAUUUCAUCAGUGGCCUAAUGUUAUUUCA
Culex quinquefasciatus (southern house mosquito) is the source of this 1027-nucleotide long non-coding RNA. RefSeq lists it as uncharacterized. NCBI's taxonomy places the organism in Eukaryota, Metazoa, Arthropoda, Insecta, Diptera, Culicidae. The transcript has 3 exons. The record is from RefSeq and is a predicted model, not a curated record.